RNAcentral lists this long non-coding RNA (31416 nucleotides) under Malus domestica (apple). RNAcentral describes it as "long non-coding RNA (MDOM_LNC009719)". The record is from RNAcentral. Lineage: Eukaryota; Viridiplantae; Streptophyta; Magnoliopsida; Rosales; Rosaceae.
UAGGAAGGCUUAAGUAGUUUUCCAUAAGGAUUUUAAUAGGGAAUCCAUAUUCUAAUAUGAGAAGGAUAUGUGUGUACAUAUAUAUAUAUAUAUAUGGCAAUCUCUUCUCUCACAGGUGUGUGCUCUUUUGGAACUAAGCCCUAUUCUUAGUUUGAGUGAUAAAUACCCUGACAGAGAGAAGAAGAAUUGAUGUGCUUUUCAGGUUGAUCGAGAUCCACCAUGACUGCAUCAAACGGGAGUUCUACAGGUUAGUAUAAUUAGGUUUUAUUUGGAUUGAUGUUUUGUGUCUACUUGGUUGUAGUUUAAGUAACUGAAUCUUGCAGCUAGAUUUUGGUUUACAUGUGGUAUCAGAGCCAUAGAUUCAUGUUCUUAAAUUCAAUCGAUAAAAUUGAUUGAAUCCAAAAUAAAAUUCCGAUCUUCAGACUUCGAAACAGGUUCUGGUAGUUAAAAUUAGGAAAAGAAGAAACGGUGCGUUUUGAUUAAAAUAUGAUGAUUAAUACUUGACCGUUAAGAGCUAAUAAACUAUCUUCUCUUCCGAAUUGGGAAUACAAAUCGACAUCUAUCGAUUUCGAUUUCGGGGUUUGAAAAACUGGGUUAUAUGACAUCUAUCGAUUUCGAUUUCGAGGUUUGAAAAACUGGGUUAUAUGAAUUGUUAUUGAGUAUCCACAAUUUAUAUUAAUUGCUUCCGCUGCUGGGUGUUGAUGCUCAUAGAACAAACGGGUAUGUCUCCUGAACAUUGAAUUGAAAUUUGUUUUUUAAUCAAUCUUAUCUUGAAUUUCAUUAUGUUCUACAGCAUGAUUCGAAUAGUGAGCAUAAAAAUAUGCUUAUUUAUGCUGAUUAGUCCUAUGUUUAUGCGUUUUUCUCUAACCAUCUAUGGAAGGGAGUUCUUCGAUAAGAACCUCUGCAGAUUUCACUUGUUUUAUGCAGAAAGUUUUAUGAAGAACUGUUCAUUUGAUAAAGAUCUGCUAAAACUGUGUUCUUAAAUGGAAAAAUCUUUUAUUCUAUAUGUGCUUAUCAAUUCUUCAUUGUUAAGAUUAUAUAUAUGGAUAAAAGGUUUUGAUGAUAUGAUGUACAAAGGAUUGUGAGAUGAAAUCUGGAACUCUAAACGUUCUUCUGUGAUUCAUUGUGAUUUCAUUGUGCUACAGUGUCUGCAAUAUCAAUGAAGACUCUGAAUUUGGCUAACAUCCCAAUUCUUACUGGUGGGGGAAAUUACAAGAAGUGGAGAAGGGAAAUCAGUUUGCUGUUGACUCUAAACGAGUUUGAUAUAGCAAUCGAGAAUCCCAAACCCGUGGUCAAUGAUCAGAGCAGCACAAGGGCUGAAAAGGCAGAUUUUGAGAGAUGGACAAGGGCUAAUAAGGUAGCAUUGUCCAUCCUUGAGAGUGGCAUGACUGAUACAAUCAGAUGAGGAAUUAAGAAGCACGAUUUGGCUGCUGAUUACCUAAAAGCUAUUGAAAAGAAAUUUCAAGAAUCUGAAAAAGCUGAAGUGAGUCAGUAUAUGUCUUUAUUAACUACUUACAAGAUGGAGGGUACAAGCUCUAUAAGGGAUCACAUAAUGAAGAUGACAUAUGCUGCAGAAAGACUCAAUGCAAUGGAUAUAAACAUAGGUGAAAAGCAGUUAGUAUUCAUGAUUCUUCAAGCACUUCCCAGUAAAUAUAGUCAGUUGAAGAUCUCCUACAAUACUCAAGACAAAAACUGGGAUAUUGAUCAGUUGAUUGCACAGUGUGUGCAAGAAGAAACUCGUCAAAAACAAGAAAGAGGCAAAGAAGUUGAGGACAUCAACUUUGUGCAAACUAUAAAUGACAAAAAGCAGUUCAACAACAGAAGCUUUUCUGGUUCUGGUAAGAGUUCUAAGCCUUUUAAAACUUCUAAUAAGUUCAGUAAUUCUGCUAAAGUAGUUGACUCCCCUAGAAAAUCUAUCAAGUUUAAAGCUAAACCUAAAGAUGUGUCUAAAUUAAAAAUGUUUUUGGUGCAAAACUAAGGGCCAUUUAAAAGUUAACUGUGAAAUUUUCAAAGAUUAUGUAAAGAGCAAAGAAAAGGAACAAGUACUUGUCUGUAUUGAAUCAAAUUUGUGAAGUAUACCUGUUGAUUCUUGGUGGUUUUGAUAUACCGGAUGCUCAGUGCAUAUAACUAAUUCUUUAAAUGGUUUUCAAAAACAAAAGGAAUUUGGAAAUGCUACAUAUAAUGUUUUUGUUGGGGAAGGAACUAAAGUUGCAGUAGAGUCAAUUGGGAUAGUCAAAUUAGUCUUAUGUUCUGGUUAUGUUUUAGAGUUGAAAGAUGUGUGCUAUAUGUGCCUAAGAUGAGAAGAAACUUAAUUUCUGCCCUCUAAAAUUGUAAAAGAUGGUUUUUCUUUUCUUGGUGAUGAUGAGUGCCUCAAAAAUUUUCAAGAAAAACUGUCCUUGUCCUAACACUAUUUUAGGGACUGCUUUUUUGUCUGAUAAUUUAUGGAAUCUAAAUUGCACUGUUAAGGCACUCAAUCACACGAUUUUCAGCAUUAGUACUAAGAGAAUGAUAGGUCAGGAUACUUCAUACAUUUUAUGGCACAAAAGACUAGGACACAUCUCUAAAGAAAGGAUAAUUAAGCUGUAAAAAACUGACUUGAUUCCAAAAUUAGAUCUUUCUACUGCAACUGAAUGUGUUGACUGCCUAAAGGGUAAAAUGACCAAUUUUAGAAAAACAGAUGCCAAAAUGAGCCAGGGGUUACUUGAAAUCAUACACACUGAUAUCUGUGGUCCUUUUCCAGUUAAGACAAUAUGUGGAAACAAGUAUUUCAUUAAUUUCAUAGAUGAUUUUUCAAGGCUGGGAUAUACCUUUCUGAUUAAUGAAAAAGCUGAUGCCCUUAAGUGUUUUAUAAUUUACAAAACUGAGGUUGAAAAACAGUUAGGCAAGGUUAUUAAAAUUGUUAGAUCGGAUAGGGGAGGUGAAUACUUUGGCAGGUACACUGAAUCCGGGCAGCAAAAGGGACCAUUUGCUCUCUAUCUCGAGAAGAAUGGUAUUGUGGCGCAGUACACCACACCUGGAACGCCUCAACAGAAUGGUGUUUUUGAAAGAAGAAACAGGACUCUUAUUGGUAUGGUUAGAAGCAUGAUGUCCAGAUCAAAAUUGCCAGGAUUCUUGUGGGGAGAAGCUUUGAAAACAGCUAAUCAUAUAUUGAAUCGAGUUCCAAGCAAGGCAGUAUCUACCACACCCUAUGAGUUAUGGCAUGGGAGAGUUCCUAGUUUUACUUAUUUCCAUGUUUGGGGUUGUAAAGCAGAAGCUAAGUUAUAUAAUCCUAAUGAAAGAAAGCUGGAUUCAAGGACUCAGUCAUGUUAUUUUAUUGGCUAUCCUGAGAAAUCAAAAGGAUACAGGUUCUAUAUCCCUCAAGGUCACACUCGGAUCCAAGAGACACACAAUGCAGUUUUCCUAGAAGAUGAAGAUGUCUCUCAUUUGUCAAGGGAAAAUUUCAUAUUUGAAGAGAUGCAUUCAGAUGGUGGGGACCAUGUGACAAUGGAUUAUAAUAUCGGUCUCAUUGUUUCCCAAUCAAUCAUCAAUUGCCAUUGAAGAUAUGAGUGAAGAUUUAGGAGUUCCUGAUGACAACUCUGUAGGAGUUGAUUCCACAACAUAAGCUGCAACAAUUCCUUUUGCAGAAGCAUGUGAACCAGUUGCUGUUCCACCUCCAGUUGAAAUCAGAAGGUCACAAAGAGCUCGGAAAACCACUGCAAGCAAUGACUAUGUGUACUUAUAAGAGACUGAGUUCGAUAUUGGUGACAUUUGAUGAUCCUCUUACAUAUACUCAGGCAACUGAAAGUCCUCAAGCAGUUCUUUGGAACAAUGCAAUGAAGGAUGAGUUAGAUUCAAUGUCCAAAAACCAGGUUUGGACAUUGGUGGAAUCCAACUCUGAAAUUAGGCCAAUAGGCUGCAAGUGGGUAUAUAAAACCAAAAGGGAUGCUGCUGGAAGAAUUGAAAGAUAUAAAGCAAGGUUGGUUGCUAAGGGGUUUACUCAAACGGAGGGGAUCGACUAUAAUGAUACUUUCUCUCCAGUUUCCUCCAAAGACUCCAUGCGAGUUAUCAUGUCUUUAGCUGCCUACUUCGAUCUUGAAUUACAUCAAAUGGAUGUAAAAACCGCUUUUCUUAACGGAGACUUACAAGAGGCUAUAUACAUGAAACAACCUGUUGGAUUUGUUGAAAAGGGGAAAGAGAAUUUAGUAUGCAAGCUCAAUAAGUCCAUAUACGGCUUGAAACAAGCAUCAAGGCAAUGGUACCUAAAGUUUGAUCAAAUUGUCUCUGCAUAAGGUUUUGUAGAAAACAAACUGGAUGAUUGUAUAUACAUUAAGUUCUCAGGUUCCGAGUUCAUCUUCUUAGUACUUUAUGUUGAUGCCAUUCUCCUAGCUAGUUCAUGUCCCCAAUUGCUUCAUAGCAUUAAGAGAAUGCUAAGUGAUAACUUUGAGAUGAAAGAUCUUGGAGAAGCACAUUAUGUACUAGGAAUAGAGAUUGUUCGAGAUAGGAAAAUGAGGCUCCUUGGUUUAUCUCAAAAGGGGUACAUUGACAGAGUGUUGGAGAAAUUUCAUAUGGCAAAUUGCAAUUGUGGUCAGGUUCCAGUCAAUAAAGGUGACAAGUUUUCGAAGAUUCAAUGUCCAAGAUCUGAUUUGGAGGUGAAGAAAAUGCAAGCUAAGCCUUAUGCCUCGUUGAUUGGAAGUCUUAUGUAUGCAACUAUCUGUACAAGGCCUGAUAUUGCCUUCAUAGUUGGUAUGCUAAGACGAUUUCAAGCAAAUCCUGAGAAGCACAUUGGGGGUGGCAGCCAAGAAGGUUCUUCGAUACUUGCAGAGAACCAAAACUCACAUGUUAGUAUAAUGGCCGAACUGAUUCUUUGGAGCUCAGGGGGUAUAUACUCGGAUUUAGCUGGAGAUGUGGAUGACAGGAAGUCCACAGGGGUUAUAUCUUCAUACUCAAUGGAGGGGCAGUUUCGUGGAAAAAUGCAAAGCAAACUAUUAUAGCCACAUCAACUAUGGAAGCUGAGUUUGUAGCCUGUUUUGAAGGCAUGAAACAGGCAGCAUGGUUGAAGAAUUUUUUGACAGAUUUAAAGAUUGUGAAUUCGGUUCAGAAACCAGUAACAAUGUUCUGUGAUAAACAACUCGGCUGUGUUUUUUGCUAAGAAUAAUAAAAGGACUUCAGCAUCUAGAUUUGGAUGGACGAAGUUUCUUAAGGUCAGAGAACAAGUCAAGAAAGGAGUUAUUGAAGUACAGCACAUUAGCACUACUAUGAUGAUUGCUGAUCCCUUGACUAAGGCACUGCCAAUUGGAGAAUUCAAGAAACAUGUUUCUUCAAUAGGAGUACUAGAAGGUUUUGAUCAGUGGGAGUAAUCACGUGUGUGUUAAAGGCUUGGGAUUGCAGAAGCAGAAGUAUAUAUGUGUUUCAAGAACUGUAUGUGCAAUUCUGACAAGCUGAACUAAGGAUGCUUUAUGUUUUAACUUGCUUUAGUUAGUUUGUUAAGGUUGUUUGUGUUUUAAUAAGUGUCCUUGUCUGCUACUCAAUACUUUGGCUUUCAGGUGUUGAGGUACGGAUACUGGACUGAGUUAGAAUUUAGUUUCAUUAGUAACUUUGAAAGAACAGUUUGUCUGUUUUUUAAGUUUGUGGUUAAUGAUGUUAUAUAGUCAAUUACUAUGUUGCUUUUCUGUGAAGAUUAAUGUGUGUUGUGAUCUUUUGAAAAGUGGGAGCAUAAUGUUUGACGGUUUAUGUUAGUCAUGAGUCAUAUUUACAAAUUGAAUAUAUGUGAGCCUUGAAUUAAUACUACAAUUUGGUUGUGGUCUGAGAUUCUUGGUUUCUAUAUUUUGAGAUGUAAUGGGACAGUGGUCAUGAUGGUUAAAUCUUAGAUGAGGUUAUGUGAUCACUUCUUAUGAUUGGUGACGGCAAGGUUUGAUCUUUGUCUCAUGUUCAAGUGGGAGAAUGUAAGAAUGUGAACAUGAGAUAAGAUGAUCGGAUAUUAGUUGUUUGAGUCCAAUCCGAAUAAGAAAGCCUCUAAGAAGAUGGAAUUCAGUUCUUGGCAGUAGAGGACUCUAUUGCAGGGAAAAACUGAUUUGAAUUAGGAAGGCUUAAGUAGUUUUCCAUAAGGAUUUUAAUAGGGAAUCCAUAUUCUAAUAUGAGAAGGAUAUGUGUGUACAUAUAUAUAUAUAUAUGGCAAUCUCUUCUCUCACAGGUGUGUGCUCUUUUGGAACUAAGCCCUAUUCUUAGUUUGAGUGAUAAAUACCCUGACAGAGAGAAGAAGAAUUGUUGUGCUUUUCAGGUUGAUCGAGAUCCACCAUGACUGCAUCAAACGGGAGUUCUACAGGUUAGUAUAAUUAGGUUUAUUUGGAUUGAUGUUUUGUGUCUACUUGGUUGUAGUUUAAGUAACUGAAUCUUGCAGCUAGAUUUUGGUUUACAUAUUUUUCGAUGUAGGCUUUAUCCACGGUGUGAGCUGCCGGCCUGACGCGGAGUUUGGUAGGGGAGGGGAAUUUGAAGUCUACGAUUUUUUGGGACGUUGGCGGGCAACAGUUGGUCGGGACUGCUCCACUUGGAAAGUCCGCAGCUCCGCAUUUGGCUAGGUCAGGCGGCAACACUGGCUUUGCAACAGCGAAGGGGUCGCUGCCAAGACCAACCACUCCGGCUUUGCAACAGCGAAGGGGUCGCUGCCAAGACCAGCCACUCCACCGUAGAGGCUUCCGAGACCUAUAAGUACAUUUCUUCUGUCUAGGUUUACUAGAGAAGGGUUUUCAUGGUCGUGAUCGUUGGAGCUAGUGGAAGGGUUUUUGUUUUGGUCACUACUAUUAUUUGUGGCUUUGCACGAGACAGCUUGUAAAUUGGAAUGCCUAGGGUUUCCAAAUGAGGAUAUUCGGUGAUACUUUUGGGAGAAAGGGGAGAGAGAAGUUGUGGGGAUGAUACUUGUGGCGGAGGUGACGAGUGGAGCUGACAUAGAAGCCAUGGUACUUGACUCUGAAUAAUACGUUGUAUUGGCUUUGCUUUUAUAAUGUGUUCUAGGUUUUACGUUUCUUUGCACGGGUGGCAGGCCGUACACACGUGGUCGGUCCUUAAGGGUUUGACGAGGAAUACUACGCAGUCAUUUAGUACAUGACAACCAUACACUAUAGCACGUGGCAUGUAUUUAGAGAUCGAGAGAGAAUUGGGUAAGGUUCACGAGGGAUUGUAGUUUCAGAAGGUGAAUUGGUUUUGGUCUUCUUGUGUACCAAUAAUUUUUACUUAGUCAUUUAGUGCAGGACAACCAUGCACUAUAGCACGUGGCAUGUAUUCAGAGAUCGAGAGAGAAUUGGUUGGGUAAGGUUCACGAGGGAUUGUAGUUUCAGAAGUUCAAGCGGUUUUGGGCUUGUUGUGUACGGCUGUGGGUCUGCUGUCACGGACUCUCUGUCUCAUUUGUGUCUUAUUUUUUAUUUUUUGACACGUUUUAACGUCAAAUCAUUAUAGCAAUGUUAUGCAAUUGGGAGCUAAAUGACCGAUGCUCUUAUUUUUUAGUUUGCUUUUUUUCCAGAUCUGAUCAAAUCAUGAUAGCAAUGUUAUGCAAUUUUCAAGAGGGAGAGAUGCACCUGGGAGAGAAACGGUACGGUGACUUCUAAAUCACCGUCCAACAGAACAAUUCUCAGUAGAGACUACUAGAGAGAGAUGCACCUCACCAAUGAAAAAUUUAACUGCAAAAAUUCUGGGUAUCGGGAGUUGUGGGGUGGGUCUUGGCAGUUUUCUUAUUUCUUUGAAUUUUUUAUAAUUUAUUUUAUAAAAGUAACAGUGUUUUGUGGGGGUUAAAUUGUAAAACACGUGUCAUCAAACUAAAUAAAGAGACACCAAAGAGACAUGGAAUUCGGGACAACAGACCCACAGCCGUUGUGUACGGAGGCAGACUCUCUGCUCUCCUACUUUCUGUGUCCUCCUGUUUUGUGUAGUCACGAUUAAAUCACGUCAAUAUUUUAUAUUAUUAUUUUAUAGAUAUAAUAAGACAAAAAAGAAUAGUAAUUUAAAAUAUUAACGUGACUUAACUGUGACCACACGAAUAGGAAGGCAUGAGAAGUGGGAAGGCAAAGAAUAUGCCUCCGUUGUGUACCAAUAAUAUUAUAUAUAUAUAUAUAUAUAUAUAUAUAAUUAGGAUUGAAGGAUGUAGAGCUUAUUUUGUUAUGUAUUCUAACAAUUUAAGUGCUUAUCUUUUAGGUUUUCUCUUAAACAGCAUGCCUAUAAAAAAUCACCAAAAUUCAAACCAUAUGACCAUUAGAUCCAUAGUCAUUUUAGUGUUAAAUGAACUUCACAAAAUAAGUCUCAAAAUAUGUAUAAAAAAUGGACAGCGUGAAUGGUUUGGAAAUUGGAAUAGGUUUGGAAAUUGUGCUUUUUGUAGCAAAUUGCAGCAAAGUUUGCUUGGACUUUCACAACCGUAUAAAUUAAACUGUUCGCUUUGUUGGGAAAAACAAGUUUGCCGCUGGUCUUGGGUUCCAAGAUCGGCCAAUUUGACGGCACACUUUUUGGCGUUGAGAAGCAGUACGGAGAUGUGCAGAUUAACUUGGAUUGAUACUCCUCCAUCUUCGUUGGUUCGUGUAUUGAACAAAGAUGGCCUUCCUUGCCCUCCUUAAUAUUUUUUGUUCUUCCUGCAGUGGAGGCGGUGACGCCUUGCUCUUGGUGCAGCGUCUAGUGUUCUGUACCCUCCUCUUCUGCAUAUGUUUGUAUUUCCCCUCGUUGCCCCUUCUAAGUGGGCUUCCUAUUGUUUUGGCUUCGGCCCUGGUUAUGAAAUAUUUCCAAUCUUACCCAAAAAAAAAAAAAAAAAGAAGAAGAAGAAGAAGUCAAGCACGGUGGGAGACUGGUCAUAGUUUCUAGAUUGAUGCUCUAAUUCUAAUGUUAUACAACGCGUACGCUAAAAUAUUUUUAUCAAAAUAUUAGUUUUAGUGUUAUCAAAACAAUAAUGUUAUUCUUACCAUGUUUUUGUAUCACAAUUAUAUACCACCUUAGAUGGCAUAUGAUGUAGAUAGCCACAUCAUUUAAAUUAAUAAGCAUUUAAUUUCAAAUGUUAAUCAAUAAUUAAUAAAAUGAUUGUUAAUUAAAUGAUGAUUAUGGUAUACAAGGAGUCUCCUUCUUCCUUCCCCUUUCCAUUCUGCUUUUUCUUCCUACCACUUUCUGUUUUUUUUUUCAUGCCAGUUUUUGUAUUGAUUUCUAUUGAUUUCCAUGAUUAUGGUCAAUCUUUAUAGAAUUUACUCGUAUACCACAACCACCAUUGAUUUCUAUCUCUAGACUCAUGCCCCGUAGCCCUAAUCCUCAUUCCCCUUCAAGUAUUUCUGUCUCCAAUCUUCUUUGGUACUCCAUGGUUGUUCAUCUCGUGAUUUUUUUUUAUUAUUUCAUUAAGUAACGCCUAUUAGCUUUCAUGCGAAUUAGGAGUCAAAAUCAAAUUUGUCUAUCGGAUUAGGGUUCAUGCCCAAUUAAGUUACUAACGCAAGAGAGAUUUUGAAGUCUACAAUUUUCCUUAUUUAAGUGUUUUAAUUAAUAAGAAAAUUGAAAUUAAACGAUUUAGCUUGUCCAACUCAUCUGCCACCUAAGAUGGUAAAUAAAUGUGGUAAGAAUAGCAUUACUCUUAUCGAAAUUACAAAAAAAAAAAAAAAAAAAAAAAAAAGCUGAUUCAAUAUUUAGUUAUUAAAAAAAAUAUAAAAAAAGUGAUCAAGUAACUAUCCAAUACCCAUGUAUUGGGUGCUUUGUUUGAAAAUUUUCAAAAUGAUAUUGGGCUCGUUUGGAUAUGUUUUUAAAAUGACUGAAAGCGUUUUUAGAGAAAAUAUUUUUUUGAUUCCAAAAGCACUUAAAGUGUUUUCUGCAAAAAGCACUUAAAGUGCUUUCUGCAAAAAGCACCAGUUAUGUGCUUCUUCCUAGAAGCACUUUAAGUGUUUUUCAAGCAUUUACUUGCUUUUUUACUAAGGAUUGGUUCCAAAAACAUUUUCACAAAAAGUGUUUUCAGUCAUUUUAAAAGUACAUUCAAACGAGCUCAUUGUUUUUCCUAUUUUAAUCAAGUGCGUCGUCCCCUGUUGAGAAUGAAUCUCAUAUUAUGGGGAGAGGGGUCUUGCAUGGAUGAGAGGAGGGACCUUGCAUGAGCUUAUAAGUAAGUUGGGUUACUCUCUAUAUUGCCAAGAGAAAUUUUAUUUGGACCUACUUUUCCUCUCUCUAAACCCAACUUUAAUAUUUUGUUACCUAAACUCUCUAGUUUACCCUCAUAAAUUAUAAACAUAAAUAAACUGGAAAAAGAAAAACUCAUCAAACCUAUUUCCCAACUGUUCUGGCGUCUCUUCCCUGUAUUUGUUGGGUCUAUCUCCCUCCCGACUGUUUUUUUUCCCUGAUAUUCUCUGUGUGUUCCCCCACCUCUCCCACACCCACCGAUUCUUUGUGGUGGCUAUUCCACCCAACGUCCAGUGAAUCUUUCCAUUUUUCUUCUAUUGCGCGUGAUAGGGCCUUGCUGUUAAUAGGCAAAACUAAGCGGCAUCGUCGACUCUGUAAGCGACUUGUUGCAGAAGUCCAAAAUGGAGUCAAAAGGAUUUUGUAUUGGGUCGGGUUGUUGAAGGCGAUGGCUGAUUUAGCAAUCUCGCCUAACUACUUCUAUAUGCAGGAGAAGGAAGAGGGAGGAAGGUCUAAAGUGGUGGUUGAGUGGUGGCGAUGUAUGUGGGUUCUAUCUCGGUUGAAUGGGUGUAGAAAGAUAUUUAAUUUUCAGUUUCUUAUUUUAUUUUGUAUAAGGGAUAAUAUCGGAAUUACAUAAAAAGUUUUUUUUAUAGCUGGGUGUAGAAAUAGUAUUGUUGGGUCUAAAUAAAAUUACCCUAUUGCCAAACAUAGUAUUGUUGGGUCUAAAUAAAAUUACCCUAUUGCCAAUUAGCUUUGUUUGAAAAUUUUCAAAAUGAUAUUGUUUUUACCAUUGAACCCUUGUUAUAUACAGUGAUGGCUAAUUUGUCAAGUUCUACGAAGUUGGGAUACCCAGCGUUUUAGCAUAUAACAUAACUUAGUAUUACAAGCAUAAUUAAUUAAAAUAAAGGAAAAUGAAGAGGAUAGCUUAGUAUUACAAGCAUAAUUAAUUAAAAUAAAGGCAAAAGUAACAGCCUGUCCCUAAAAAUGACGAUUUUAUAAUCUUAACACGUGAGUUUAUGAAGAUGCCCUUCGAGGCAAAGUGUUGACUUGUGUUGACUACCGCAUCGUGUCAUGUGAGACUCAUCUUCUUGGCGUAUUCUCGUUUUACUUGUCACUACGGACGCAUGGGCGCAAACGGGACAUGAUUUGGAGCUAUAACGAAUGAGUUAUUAACAUUUAAAGUUAAGGACAUUUUAGUAAAUUAAUUAAUUUCAGAUUAUGUUGAGGGGAAAAUCUGGAGUGCCGGUGGGUGGCCCAGAUUAAAGGAAAUGAAGAAUGGAUGGUGGAGGUGUAAAGGAAAGAAGAUAAAAGAAAAAUGAGAGGAAGUGUGUGACUAAUAGGGAGAUGAGAGAGUUAGGAUGGCCCAAUCAGAAACAAACGAAAGGAGGAAAAAGGAGAGAAGAGGGGAGCGGGGGAUCCCUUCGACCCGGUUCCAUUUUCCGACCCGACCCGAUCCUUUUCAUCUUCUUUGAUGGUUUUUCGUCGGUUUUUUCCGACGAACCACGUUAUCUAACCCCUUGGAAAAUGUUCCACAACCUUCCCUCAACUAUUACAAUCCAAAAUUGUAGAAAUUUAGCCAUGAAAGUAUGAAAACCACACCGGUGGGUGCGGGAAACCCUUGUCGUCGAUUCUCCCAUUAUUGCAACGAUUUUCACCAAUUACCACCACCUACAACAUCCUCUUGAGGUCUGGAAUAAAGCCCAAACAAGUUUUGCACUACUACAAUAUUAGCUUUAGAUGGCAGAUGAUGGUGGCGGAUUUAGAAAAAUAUUGUCGGAUAAAUUAUAUCUGACACAUUAUUUAAUUAGUGGUGAAUAUAAGAAAAAUCAUGUCGGUUAUAACCGACAUAAAUUCGUGGCAGAUACUAGCAGAUAUUAAAAAACUCAUGUCGGUUAUAACCGACAUAAAUUCCUAGCGAAUAAUUACUGACAGAUAUUAUAAAACUUCUGUCGGUUAUAACCGACAAUAUUUUUGAAUUGGGGGAAUUUAAAAUUUUGGGAGGGAAUUUAAAAUUUUGGGAGGGAAUUUAAAAUUUUGGAGGAAAUUUUGGGGGGAUUUUUACCCAUAUUAAUUCAUGGCGGAUAAUUACUGACGAAUAUUAUAAAGCUCAUGUCGGUUAUAACCAACAAUAAUGAAAAUGUUUAUGUCGAUUUUUAUUAAAAAAAUGUUUCUGUCAGUUUUAACCGACAUUAAUGAAAAUAUUCCACAGUAAAACCCCUACUUCUUCUCCUUGUGCUGGUGCCUUCUCCCUUCCCCCUUCUUUCCCCCUUUUCUCUUCUCCUCAUUUCCUUUUCCUUUGUAUUUUUGAUUUUGACAAGGUCUCUCCUUUAUUUGAUUCUUUGUUGUUCAUCUCUCACAAAUGUAGAGAGAGUAAAGGAGAUGCUUAGAGCGCUUUCUUUGUUCCUUUUUUUUUUCUUUUCAUUUUUUCCCUUUUCAAACUCCGACUAUGUCUUACAUGGCCGGUCCCAAGCCCGGAUAAAGGAGGAGGGGGAGGGCGUCAGGUAGUCGACAGCCGGCACUCCAUGAUCACGUCGAAUCCUUAUGAAAAUGAAUCCAGAACAAAAUCGCGCUAAAGCUAGGGCGCCACCCGUAAGUGGCGCGCUGUGUGGCCCGAGCACAGUGAUAAGUGAGCAAGGGUCGCUGUAUCUCCAUCGGCACUCGGAUGCAGUGUUAAAUGAGCAAGGGGGCCAUAGAAACUUCUUUUCGAACGACUCCACUCAAAGUUGUUUGGGAGCAUAUGCUCCUAUCAACUUUACCCGGGACACACAAAAGAAGUACUUUGAUCCUAUUAGACGGGGGAGGGUGAAGAAGCUAGGACAGAAGGGUAGAGUUCAAGAGAGCAAAAUGCGUUUAGGAACGUGGAAUAUAGGAACCUUAACGGGAAAAUCUAUGGAAGUAGUGGAAGUUAUGGUGAGGAGAAGGAUAAAUAUUAUGUGCCUACAAGAAACUAAGUGGGUUGGUAGUAAGGCAAAGGAUCUAGAAAACUCAGGGUUUAAACUUUGGUAUUCGGGCACAAAUAGAACGAGAAACGGUGUUGGCAUCAUCGUGGACAAGACCUUGGUACAAGAUGUUGUAGAUGUCAAGAGUGUAGGAGAUAGAAUCAUGGCAAUCAAGAUUGUAAUAGGACAAGAACUUAUCAAUGUGAUUAAUGCGUACGCACCUCAAGUAGGGUUGGAUACGAGUUCGAAGGAGAAAUUUUGGGAAGAUCUUGGAGACUUGGUGCAAGGAAUUGCUCAGACGGAGAAGUUAUUUAUAGGAGGAGAUUUAAAUGGACACGUGGGCAGGGAGACAGGCAACUAUGGAGGUUUUCAUGGUGGCCAUGGUUUUGGGGAGAGAAACGAGGAUGGGGAAGCUAUCUUGGAUUUUACAAUGGCAUAUGAUCUCUUCUUAGCCAACACCUUCUUUAAGAAGAGAGAAGAACAUGUGAUCACCUACAAGAGUGGGUCGUCAAAAACACAAAUAGAUUUUCUUCUAAUGAGGAAAGGGGAUCGUAUAACUUGUAAGGAUUGCAAAGUUAUACCAGGAGAGAGCGUGGCUAAUCAACAUCGCUUGUUGGUGAUGGAUGUACAUAUCAAAAGAGUAAGACAAAAGAACAAGACUUGGAAGUGCCCAAGGACUAGAUGGUGGAAUCUAAAAGAAGAAAAACAAGUCAUUUUCAAAGAGAAGGUAAUCACCCAAUGUGUGUGGGAUAGAGAGGGGGAAGCUAGCCAAAUGUGGGAUUUCAUGGCUAGUUGUAUCCGAAAAGUAGCAAAAGAGGUAUUAGGAGAGUCUAAGGGCUUUGCCCCACACUAAAAGGAAUCUUGGUGGUGGAAUGAGGAGGUACAAACAAAGGUGAAGGCUAAGAAGGAAUGUUGUAAAGCCUUAUACAAGGAGAGGACCGAUGAAAAUGGUGAAAGGUAUAGAAAAAAAGCGAAGCAAGAGGCGAAGAAAGCUGUCAGAGAAGCUAAGUUAGCGGCUUACGACGAUAUGUAUAAACGACUAGAUACCAAAGAAGGAGAGUUGGAUAUCUAUAAACUAUCUAGAGCAAAGGAAAAGAAGACAAGGGACCUAAACCAAGUGAGGUGCAUCAAGGAUGAGGAUGGAAAGGUUCUUGCUACAGAGAACGCGGUUAAAGACAGAUGGAGAGGUUAUUUUCAUAAUCUUUUCAAUGAAGGACAUGAAAUGAGUGCUUCUUUAGGGGAGUUGAGUAACUCAGAAGAGUGUAGAAACUACUCUUUUUAUCGUCGAAUCCGGAAGGAAGAAGUGGUUGUAGCUUUGAAGAAGAUGAAGCAUAAAAAAGCAAUAGGCCCAGACAAUAUACCAAUCGAAGUGUGGAAACUUUUGGGAGAGACAGGUAUAACAUGGCUCACUGACCUUUUCAAUAGGAUUUUGAAAACGAAAAAGAUGCCAAAUGAGUGGCGAACGAGCACUUUGGUGCCUAUCUACAAGAAUAAGGGCGACGUACAAAAUUGCAUGAACUAUAGGGGUAUUAAGCUAAUGAGUCAUACAAUGAAGCUCUGGGAGAGAGUCAUUGAGCAUAGAUUGAGGCAAGAGACACGGGUUUCGGACAACCAAUUCGGGUUCAUGCCAGGGCGCUCAACCAUGGAGGCAAUCUAUCUCUUACGAAGAUUGAUGGAAAGAUAUAGAGAUGGGAAAAAUGAUUUACACAUGGUCUUUAUAGAUUUGGAAAAAGCGUAUGAUAGGGUCCCAAGAGACAUUCUUUGGAGGAUUUUAAAGAAGAAAGGAGUACGAGUAGCAUAUAUCCAAGCUAUAAAGGACAUGUAUGAAGAAGCAAAGACUGCCGUAAGAACUCAUGAAGGACAAACCGAAAGCUUUCCCAUAACUGUAGGAUUACAUCAAGGCUCAUCCUUAAGUCCUUACCUUUUUGCGUUGGUAAUGGAUGAGUUAACAGGACAUAUUCAAGAUGAUAUUCCUUGGUGUAUGCUUUUCGCAGACGAUAUAGUGUUGAUAGAUGAAACUCAGGAAGGGGUAAAUGCAAAGCUUAACCUUUGGAGAGAAGUGUUGGAAUCUAAAGGUCUUCGCCUAAGCCGAUCAAAGACAGAAUAUAUGGAGUGCAAGUUCAGUGCAAAUGGAGGCCAAAACGAGUUAGGGGUGAGGAUCGGAGAUCAAGAAAUACCAAAGAGUGACCGUUUUCGUUACCUAGGAUCUAUCUUGCAAAAGAACGGAGAAUUAGAUGGAGAUCUCAACCAUAGAAUACAAGCUGGAUGGAUGAAGUGGAAGAGUGCAUCUGACGUGUUGUGUGACCGUCGUAUGCCACUGAAGCUCAAAGGAAAAUUUUAUAGGACGGCAAUAAGGUCGGCGAUGAUUCAACUUGGCGGGUUCGAGCAAAUAGGCGUUGGGCCAUAUUAGACACAGAACCUGCACACUGAACACUGAGAGCUAGCGAAUCCUUAACAGCUAACUCAUCAGACCGUUUGGAAAGUAGUCUGUUAUCUUUGGGAGUGAGAAGGUUCCUGGCCACCACCGCAGCGGUCAUAUCAUUCUUCAUCACGGAAUCCCCAACGGUAAGAGGACCAGUAGGGGAGACAAAGGAUGGGCGCCAUAUGUUGUCUGGAGAAGGCGGGGCUGCCUCUUCAACAAGGUUCAAGUCAAAAAACGACGGUCGGAGGGCCAGACAUUUUCAAAGGUGUUGAAGAGAGAAGAGGUCGGACACAAAUCAAGAUCUUAGAAGUGCAAGAAUGAAGCUUCUACUGGUGGAGAUUCAAGUGUGCUUUGGAACUUAAUGCCAGCCCCUAUAAAAAUCUGCACUCGACGGAGCUUCAGAAAUCGAAGAGGCGUUUGCUUUCUCAAAAGCUGGGCUGCUUAGAGAUCACGAGGGUUGAUCUCAGGAAUCGAAGAGGCGUUUGCUUUCUCAAAAGUUGGGCUGCUCAAAGACCACGAAGGCCGAUCUCAGAAAUCGAAGAGGCGCUCACUUUCUCAAAAACUGGGCUCCCCAGAGACCACGAGGGCCGAUCUCAAAAAUCGAAGAGGCACCUACUUUUCCAGCCUUGUCAGCACCUGUCACACGCACACUCAGCUUUGCGGAAAUUAUGGGCAUUCUGUCGAAGACUUCUGGGGAAGUAGAAAACACAUGAAUCUUACUGUUCAAUCACCCACUUCCCACACGCAAUAAUAGCUCAUGGGUACCACAGAUAACUUUGCCAAAGUUCUCUGCCAAAGUUGAGCACGUGAAGCUUGCAGCUCCCACUACAUCGCUCUGACCAAGAAGGGUAAAAAGAAUAGCAAAGAAACAGCACUAACAAAGUUUAGACCCAUAAAUUUUGAAGGUCUAGCUACCAUAUUAUUACCCACAAGGGUAAAGGAACAGUACCACUGCUGGAUAAUUGGAAAGUCCCUAUGUGUCAACCUCUGUGCUUCGUGGCAAGGUAGACUAGCAAACAUGCCCAACCUUUACUCACAUUCGAGAAAACACUCCCAAUAAGAUUGCUUGCUCCAAAAUCGAAGAGGCACCGUCCUCCGAAUCUCGAGAGCCAGACUCCCAACAUGACUACUUUCUUAAAAAUCGAAGAGAGGGUAAAGGAACAGUACCAUUGCUGGAUAAUUGGAAAGUCCAUGUGUGUCAACCUCUGUGCUUCGUGGCAAGGUAGACUAGCAAACAUGCCCAACCUUUACUCACAUUCGAGAAAACACUCCCAACAAGAUUGCUUGCUCCAAAAUCGAAGAGGCACCGCCCUCCGAAUCUCGAGAGCCAGACUCCCAACAUGAUUACUUUCUCAAAAAUCGAAAGAGACACUGCUCCCCGAAUCUUCGAGAGCCAGACCCCCAGCAUGAUUGCUUUCUCAAAAAUCGAUGAGGCAUCGUUCUCCGAAUCAAUCGAAGAGGCGCUCGCUUUCUCAAAAGCUGGGCUGCUCAGAGACCACGAGGGCCGAUCUCAGAAAUCGAAGAGGCACUUACUUUUCUAGCCUUGUCAGCACCUGUCACACGCACACUCAGCUUUGCAGAAAUUAUGGGCAUUCUGUCGAAGACUUCUGGUGAAGUAGAAAGCACAUUAAUCCUACUGUUCAAUCACCCACUUCCCACACGCAACAAUAGCUCAUGGGUACCACAGAUAACUUUGCCAAAGUUCUCUGCCAAAGUUGAGCACGUGAAGCUUGCAGCUCCCACUACAUCGCUCUGACCAAGAAAGGUAAAAGAAUAGCAAAGAAACAGCACUAACAAAGUUUAGACACAUAAAUUUUGAAGGUCUAGCUACCAUAUUAUUACCCACAAGGGUAAAGGAACAGUACCACUGCUGGAUAAUUGGAAAGUCCCUGUGUGUCAACCUAUGUGCUUCGUGGCAAGGUAGACUAGCAAACAUGCCCAACCUUUACUCACAUUCGAGAAAACACUCCCAACAAGAUUGCUUGCUCCAAAAUCGAAGAGGCACUGUCCUCCGAAUCUCGAGAGCCAGACUCCCAACAUGACUACUUUCUCAAAAGCGAAGAGAGGGUAAAGGAACAGUACCAUUGCUGGAUAAUUGGAAAGUCCCUGUGUGUCAACCUUUGUGCUUCAUGGCAAGGUAGACUAGCAAACAUGCCCAACCUUUACUCACAUUCGAGACAACACUCCCAACAGGAUUGCUUGCUCCAAAAUCAAGAGGCACCGCCCUCCGAAUCUCGAGAGCCAAACUCCCAACAUGAUUACUUCCUCAAAAAUCGAAGAGACACUGCUCUCCGAAUCUCGAGAGCCAGACCCCCAGCAUGAUUGCUUUCUCAAAAAUCGAAAAGGCAUCGUUCUCCGAAUCUCGAGAGCCAGAUACCACAGACCACUUUUUCAAAGUGCUCUGACAGAGUUAAAACAUGUGAAACUGGCAGCUCCCACUACCGUGCUAUGACCAAGCAGGGUAAAGGAAUAGCAUUACUACUUGUUGUUAGGGAGACUCCUAUAUAUGUCGACCUCCAUCCCCAACGGACAGGCAGACCUGCAAAAAUGCUCAACCCUUCAUCAUAUCUGAGUGGGCACUCCCAACGAAGCCUUUCGAAAUAUUCAGCUUUCUUUCCCCCCGAUAAUACCUCUGCAAACAAGCUAUACUAGAGCAAGAAUAUCUCAUAUCAUCAGGGUUAAAAGCAAGAGUAUCCCAUAUCAUGCUUUUUCCCUGUCUUUUCCUUUGGCCUUGUUUUUACCUGCAAGACAAGGAGAAAGAGAGCAAUCAGUCAGCACUUGGAAUCAAGCUUCCAACCAGGAAAUGACUGCCUGGAACCCCUUACUUGGCAUUGCUCUCGAGUACUCAUCUUCAACAUCUUAUGUUUCCAGGGAAGAUUCUGCAUCUGCUUGAGGAACAGAUAGGGCAAGUGCGAAGGAUACAAGGAAGCAUGCGGAGACAAGCGUAACAGCACACGUGCCGAUACAUCCAUUACUCUGUCAAAAGCAAAAGUAUCCCAUAUCAGCAGGGUGGAACGUACUCUAGAUUUGAUGGACUUGUUUUGACCCUCAAAUUCUUCAGUCGGCCUUAUAUUCUGGAGGAAACCAGAAAACCCUCCAGCUCAGUUCAAGAAUAAGCCUGUGGAAAGUUACUUCUUCAAAAGCAAAAGUAUCUCAUAUCAUCUCUUCUCAUUUUUCUUCUCUCUUUAUCCUUCAUGCUGCUGCAAGAUGGGGAGAAGGUGAACAAUCAGUCGGAGCUCUGAUUGCUUACCUUGUCUGUCACCUCUUUCAGCAGACCCCCUAGCUCGGCGACUUGGGGGACUCCUACUAAAUGGUUUGUAUCGCGCUUGACCAAGCCUGAAACUACAAGUAAGCUUCAAGUGAAAUUGAUACAUUACCUUGUGCAUCUCCACCAGUUAAAGAUACCACCCCUGGAUGGAGGAAGAGUACUUCCAGAGAAGAUGCCACAUCUACCUAUGAGACAGAUAAGGCAAGUCAAGACGACACCACACUCCGAUACUUAGAAGUUUCGUGAUUAUGAGAUCAUUCUCCCACAAUAUUUCCUAAUGUCAUUUGUACUAAAUCAUUCACUUGUACUCACUAAAGGAGAGCUUGAACCUAUGUACUUGUGUAAACCCUUCACAAUUAAUGAGAACUCUUCUAUUCCGUGGACGUAGCCAAUCUGGGUGAACCACGUACAUCUUGUGUUUGCUUUCCUAUCUCUAUCCAUUUAUAUACUUAUCCACACUAAUGACCGGAGCAAUCUAGCGAAGAUCACAAAAAGCGACCGUUUUCGCUACCUAGGAUCUAUCUUGCAAGAGAACGGAGAAUUAGAUGGAGAUCUCAACCAUAGAAUACGAGCUGGAUGGAUGAAGUGUAAGAGUGCAUCCGGCGUGUUGUGUGACUAUCGUAGGCCACUGAAGCUCAAAGGAAAAUUUUAUAGGACGGCAAUAAGGCCAGCGAUGUUGUAUGGCACAGAAUGUUGGGCGGUGAAGCAUCAACACGUACACAAAAUGGGUGUAGCGGAGAUGAGGAUGCUUCGUGGGAUGUGUGGGCACACGAGAAAGGAUAAGAUUGGGAAUGAGGAUAUCCGAGGUAAAGUAGGAGUAGCCGAAAUUGUAGGAAAGAUGAGAGAAAAUCGGCUCCGGUGAUUUGGACAUGUGCAAAGAAGGCCGACUGACGCUCCGAUUCGAAGAUGUGACUACGGGACAGAGGUUCAGGGCCGAAGGGGUAGAGGAAGACCUAGGAAAACUUUGGAAGAGACUCUAAGAAAAGACUUAGAGUACUUGGAUCUAACGGAGGACAUGACACAAAACCGAGCGCAAUGGCGUUCUAGGAUUCAUAUAGCCGACCCCACUUAGUGGGAAAAGGCUUUGUUGUUGUUGUUGUUGUUGUAUUUUUUCCCUUUUCAAAAUCGAAAUGUUCUAAAUUAUUUCACUAAUCCUUGCUAGUUUGAACUGCAGGAGUCUGUCUCUGGAUUUGAAAGAUUAUCUGGACUUACAGUUUUGAAGAAUUGGGAUUCUAGUGUUACACAUAUUAUUGCAUCGACAGAUGAAAAUGAAGCAUGCAGAAGAACCCUUAAAAUUUUGAUGGGUAUCUUGGAGGGGAAGUGGAUUCUGAGUGUGGAGUGAGUUUUACUGUUUUCGUUUUAAUUGUUCUUCCUCAAGUGCUUGGACUUUACAAUUGUAAUGAGUACAGAAGCCGAAAUGAGAUAUUGAUAUACAUGUUCACAUUGCUGAUAAUUCGUUAUCCGUCUGUUUGUGUAGGAAUUAAUGCUUGCACAUAAGUAAUGAAACUAGUUAAUGAGGAGCCUUAUGAAAUCAACGUUGACAUUUAUGGAAUCAGGGAUGGUCCUCGACUUGGUAGACUAAGGCUGCAGAACAAGGUUAGCUUUUCCUCGAGUUUAACUAUCAUCACGAAAACUUUAGAUUUUCAUGGAUUCACCAUAGGCAUUGUUAAUCUUGUUCAGUCCAUAAAUAGGUUACACACUUAUCUUAACAAAGGUGAGACCUUCUCAAUUCCUCAUCGAGAUGAAUCAAGAGCAUAAUUGUAGCAGUGAUCAAGAGCAAUUUUUUUAUGUUUCUUCCAAAUUGUUGAGAUGAAUCAUCUGUGUUUUGUUCUAAUAAUCUUACAAAUUUGUUGAGCAAUUUUUGUAAAGUCAGAAUCUUUGGUUUCGGUUGUGAGGUAUCUGAUUUGGGUAUAUGUGUUUUGCAGGGCACGGUGGUUGUGGCGGAGGAAGAUUAGGAUUGACGACAGAGCUCUGGCCAUGAACUAUCAGCUCUGUCUUUCUCUCUCUAACUAUGAAUUGAAUACAAAAGUCUGUGUUGAUAUGGAAAAUGUAGCUCAAAAUUAUUACACAAAUGGCAAAAAAAAAAAGUUCGAGUGUGGAGUUUCACUUACUGAUACAGGGCUUUUGAAACAGGGUUGUCUAGACUGUAGAAGAAAUCCAUGGCUUUUGGAAGAGGGGAUGUUCCAAAUCUAUCUUUUCUCCCUCUCUAAUGUUCUUCGAGGGGUUCUUGUGAUGCAAAAAGUGGUUUAUAUAUAUUUUUUAUUAUUAAUAAAUUUUCUGUCGGUUUUAUCAGACAAUAAUUCUUUUAUUUAUUCUUAUUAAUAAUUUCUCUGUCGGUUAUAUCUGACACAAUUUCUGUCGAUUUUAGAGUAUUUUCUAUCGAAAAUUUCAUUUCCUGACGCAUCAAUUAUGUCGCUUAUUAUAUCCGCCACUGCACUCAUUUCAUGUCGGAUUUUGCUUAAUUUCCAACAGUAUUAUACAUUUCUUGUCGGUUUUUAAACCGACACUAAUGGGUACUUUUGUAGUAAUGUUGGGGCGUCGGAGUUCGUUUAAGGUCGAAUUGAGCACACCCAAAUUCAAGGGUUCCGUACGGUUCAUGGUAAUUUGAGGUAUUUCUCAGCCAAAUUGUCCUUAGUCACAGAUAUGAAAGUUGCUCCACUCGUUGAGAUCUUCAUUUAUGUCAAAUUUGAGAAUUUUUAGAAAUAAUUGGAUUUUCCAGCGAAUCGGGGCGGCGGACCACCACCGGACAGCGCAUGGCUAGUGGGCCCCCAAUGUCAUUUUACGUUAAAUUGGUAUCUUGAUUUUAGGUUUGAUGUCUAUAUGUUAUGACUUGAUAUGUGAACCUAGUUUAAUUAAGGUGCGUUAAUUGGUAAAAAUAUGAAACGACGAUCCGACCGUGGGAUCGUCACCAAUCUUUAUUAUGUUAUAGUACAUUAUAUUUGAGAAUCAUAGGGACUGACGGAUAGGAAAUCCGAUAUACGGAUCUUCCUGAAAUGGAAUUGUAAGUUCGAAGAAUAAACGUUAACCGCCACUUUGUUUUGACUAUUGGUGAAGAUCCAACCGUUGGAUCAUAAUGAAAUUUUAGGAUGAUGUUUUAGAAGCAUAAUGUGGAUCUUUGGAAGUUAUUGAUUGGAAAUCCGAGGAGCGAAUCUUCCGGAUUGAAUUACGUAAGGUUGUGGACCCUACCGUCGAUCGUUGACUGACGAUCGACUUUUGGUCAAUGGGGCUUAAAUCACUCUAAAAUGUUUUUAGGGAUGUGUUUUACGUAAAUUACAUUAUCUAUGGAUAAGAAUUCUGAGAUGUGGUUUGAUAAUUGUCCUGGGCGCCGAUCGUUAGGAACGCUUCGAUGGUUGUGCUAGGAAAUUGUAGCAUAGACUCCAGGUGAGUGAAUCUUUUCCUUCUUAUAUAUAUAUAUAUAUAUAUAUGAUUGACAAUUCCACAAACGUUUAUAAAUUGAUUAUUGCAUAUAACUACUGUAAAUACUUUGAAGUACUUAUGCGAACUACGAAUGGCUUGAUCCCUAUUUAGGGUACGUAUGCAGUCUAACAAGACAUUAAAUGCAGUCAUACAAUAAUUGAGAUUAAACAAUUGAGACAAAGCCUUGUAUGGGGAACUGGGCAAGGUGAACGAAUUUGGUAAAAAUGUGAGAUUUAACCUUCUGAAUUGGUGAUUAAAUGUUGGUCAUAAAUCAAUGUGUAAAGAAUCAAGAAUUUGAAGUAAGGAAACGUAAGUAAUGAUAAUUAAUUAAACUAGUGUCUAGUUGGGCUUGUCACCUAUAAUUAUCCCCAAAAAUGAAUAAUUCGGGAGUAGGGCGUUAUAGCUUCUGCAUUUUUAUGCCACAUUAUAUAUAUAUAUAUAUGUGUGUGUGUGUGUGUGUGUGUGUGUGUGUGUAUAAUUGGAAAUGCUAUAACGUGGUUGAGUAUCAGAUUUCAUCAUGGUUUAUCUAUAUGUAUAUUACCUGCACACAAUUAUUAUGAACACUUUGAAGUGCAAAGGUGAACGCAAGACACCCAGGAAAGUUCAGGUGAGUUUAUGGUAUUAGUUGAAAUGAUGGGGUUAUGGUAACUACAUGUAUGUUUAGGUUGCAAUGAUAGGCAACUCCGACACUGUCGUACAAGUUGCCCAUGAAUUGUAUAUGUUACAAUAGAUAGAGUUAGAGGUCAUAAACCUGCACCCCGGUGUUAGUGCUCCCACCCGUGGCUAGGGCACAGUCUUUCACGAGAUGUUCACCUCUCGCAUCUUACGCUCACCUUGGAUCCAAGGUAGGUGCACAGUCAUGUCAUAAAGACCACUAUAGGUGGUUCCGACUAGUAGAUGACCCGUGAUUAUUCGCACAGUCUUCACGUGAUUGUAGCACUUGAGCGUAUUUAUUUACACCCAGUCCUGUCGUACAGACCACUUUAGGUGGUUCCGACUCGUAUGCAGGUAUACUUAUUGAGCUAUGGAUAAGUCGUACAGGUCACUAAAGGUGACUCCAACUUAUGAGCUAGCAUAUGUGAUGAAAUAUGUGAUGAGCUAGCAUAUGUAAUGAGAUAAGUGAUGAGCUAGCAUAUGUGAUGAGAUAUGUGAUGAGUUAGCAUACGUUAUGAGAUAUGUGAUGAGUGAUAUAAUCAUAAUUGCAUACAUUUUCAUGCCCUUUUAGUUUAGAUUUUUGUUAUCCUUUUGAGUGAAUUUAGUUUGUUUCACUUAGUUUUAUGUUUUUCUUAGAUUUGAAGUGUGAAGAUGAAGAAAGAAGAAAAAAGAGCAUUUUUAGCGAUUGAAAUGAGUUUGGCAUGCUGGAAGCAGAGGCUAUUUGUGCGGAUCAGCCAACUUUACGGAUUAAACUGUACUUCCUUAGAAUGCCAGCUGUUGAGUCUUAUACCAUUGGAAAGAUAUGAAAGUUAGCUUUCAGAGGAAUUUUACGAUUCGUGAUUCCGAGUUUCCUAGAAGACGUUAUAGUGGUUUUUCUACCAGAUGUCUGCCAGCAAGGUUUUACGCGGGAUUUGCAAAGAGAUUCCAGAUUUACAAAGUUUAAUUAAAGGAAACAAGCAGAGAAAAAAGAAGAGGAAGCUUUUAGAAAAGUUCAGGACUAUUCUAAACGGUGCAUAGUUAAUAUAUUUAAUAGUUUAGUGUGCCACAUCAUCAAUAAACUAAUCUAAGUCAGAAGAGAAAUUCAAGAGUCCCAUUCAAGUAAGUAUUCCAGCAGUUUUAUUCAGGAAUAAAGGAGGGCAGACCGUCGGACUUUAGGAGCGGACAGAGAGAGUUUUUGGGUUUUCGAAGGUGCAGAGAAGAGGUCGCAGCAAGGAGUGAAACAGAGUCGCCGAUCAUCUGGGCAAUCCAUCACCAUCGUGUGGAAGUAUUUUAUGUUUUUCAGAUUUUUAAUUAUGUUUUCAGAUUUUAUGAGUAACUAAACUCUUUUUCUAAGGUUAGGAUGAUGCCCUAGCAUGGAUGUUUAUGGUUUGUAAUGUUAUUCAUUGGAUUUCCAGUUUCUUUUAGAUGAAUGCUUAAUCACUGUUUGAAUUGUUACUGUUUGUUUGAGUUCUUUGAUUGAUCACCUUAGGACUUUGCAUCUAGUAAGAUUGGAAGAUGAAUUUGAGACUGAACUAACAAUAUAAUUCAAUUAGCUUCUUGUGGUUAAGUGUGGUAAAUUACAUUAUUGCUUGAAAAAGAAUAAUGGUUUGUUUGGGUCCCUUGUUUUCUAGAGGGUAAAGAGUCCUACUUGUUAAAUUUAUGCCUUAACUAGGAUAGACUGCUUGUUAGGAUAUACGACCUCUGCCUAAACUAGGAGAGAAUCAUUCACAUAAGGAAAACUAUGGUCUAAUAUGCCUGACAAGGACUUAGAUACGGGAAUUAUCAUCUAAAGAAUUGAAAGAUCCAUUGAAUGCAUUGAAACCUAAACUAGAUUGCUUGUGGUUGAUUCCGAAUCCCUAGAUUUUCAUCACUUGCCUUAAAACACAACCGUUUCUUUUCUUUAAUUUCAGUUUUUACUUAAGGUUCUGUUUUUGUUCAUUUAUAAAAUCAUCACAACAAAUUUUUUACAUCUUUGAUUGACUUAUUAAUUAAGAUCGAGUCUAGUUCGUUGUUUGGGUUUGUGUGUCUUUAAUAUAAUUAGAUUUGGUUUAGUUUAUCAAAUUGGAGAUUGAAUUAGAAUCCUCGUGGGAACGAUACUUGGACUUGCAAAACGUUAUAUUACGACUAUCUUGUGCACUUGUAAGUUUACACCAAGUUUUUGGCGCCGUUGCCGGGGACUCUAAUUGAGUCCCCCAAUUUGAUAUCAUAUUCCAUAUCUAAUAAGUAGUUUAUUGUAGAUUAUUCAAUUUGAUUUUGUUUUGUUCUCUAGUUUCGAGUAAGAGUCAUAACUAUUAAGAUAAGUAAAAGUAAUUUUCGUCACUGUUUUAUUUCAGUUUUGUAUCACUGUUUCGACACAGUUUUGGACUAAACUAUUCGAUUUUUUACCAGGAAUAUUGUGUAUCGUUGGAAAGCCCCAGAAGUCUAGUUUUCAACCCAAAAAACAGAUCAAUGAUUGGAUUUUUGAGCUGCAAGAAAUGUACAAAAUACUGAGCAGUGGUCAAACAAGGAGCACAGUCUGGUCGUAUAUGCAAGGUAGACGUUCGUUGCAAUUUGAGUUGAUUCAUAUAGACCAAGAACUUGUGCGUACUUUAAGAGAACAGUGGAGGCAGCGAGUGUGUCAAGAACCAGCCAUGGAGGAAGUAGUUAAUAAUGGUGGAAAUAAUCCUCCACCAUUGCUACCACCACAACCAAGGCUCAUGCGUGAUUAUACAAAGCCAACGGAGUACAACGCACCGUCAUGCAUUGUUUUGGCUCCAAUUGCGCAGCGAUUUGAGAUUCGUCCACAAAUCUUUCAGUUGCUGCCUAUAUUUCUUGGGAAGGAGGAAGAAAAUCCAUACCAUCAUAUCAAGGCGUUUUUCAAGCUAUGUUCCACAUUCACAUUCACCAAUGUUACUGAAGAGCAAAUUCGACUUCGGUUAUUCCCAUUCUCUUUGAGGGAUAAAGCAAGCAGUUGGUUGGAUUCUCUUCCCGAAGCAUCUAUCGACACAUGGACAAAAUUAUCGAAGAAGUUUUUGUCCAAGUUCUUCCCCGCUCGAAGAACCAAUGCUCUGAUCAAUGAAAUCAUGAGCUUUCGACAACAAGAAGGUGAACAGUUUCAUGAAAGUUGGGAGCGCUAUAAGGACUUGUUUCUUCAAUGUCCUCAUCAUGGUUUCAACACUUGGCAAAAGGUUCAUUAUUUUUACAAAGGUUUGAACUCUCAAUGUAGGAGUUUGGUUGAUUCAACGGUUGGUGGAACCUUGAUAGACAAAACUCCAGAAGAUGCCAUACAUGCCUUUGAAACUAUAUGUGAAAAUUCUGAGCAUUGGGAUUUUCCUACAAAAGAUUUGAGAGUUCCAACUGCAUCGUCAACAAAAAAAGGAGGCAUUUAUGAAGUUAAUACAAGGACGGGCUUAGAGGCACAAGUGGCAGCCCUCACCAAGCUUCUCACACCACUUGUAAGCAAGAUAGCCACGCAGCCAUGUACUUUAUGUGCGAGCAUCGCCCAUGACAUGGAAAAUUGUCCAACAAAUGCUAAUCUAGAAGGCAUCCAAGAGGUCAAUGCAUUUAGUGGGAGGCCCCGGAAUGAUCCAUAUUCUAAUAAUUAUAACCCGGGAUGGAGAGAACAUCCAAAUUUUUCUUAGAGAGAUUCACAAAAUAGCAUGGGAUCAUUCACUUCAACAAAGCAAUAUCAGCAACCUUAUCAAGCUCCUCCAAUUCAACAAAAAGACUCGUCUAUCAAGGAUAUGUUAUCUCAACUCUUAAAGAAAACUGAUCGGUAUGAACAUGAAGUUGUGUCGCUUAGACAAAGUCAGACGGUGUUGGAAAAGGCUCGAUCUAAUUUUGAGACUCAGUUGGGACAGAUAGCUACUACUUUGAACAAGCUGGAGUGAGCACAAGGGCAAUUUCCAAGCCAAACUGAAACAAAUCCUAGGAAUCAAAAGCAUGUUCAAGCUGUCACCACUUUGAGGAGUGGAAAGACGAUUGGUAAUAAUGUGGAAAGUUCAAAAAUUAAUAAGGAAGAAGAUGAAGGGGUCAGCACAUAUCGGGCAGCAGCUUGACAAGACAAGCUAAAAAAGAGAAGUAUAUGGGAGAUAUUUUAGAGCAAUUUAGAAAGGUGCAGAUUAAUAUUCCUUUUCUCGAUGCCAUCAAACAAAUUCAAUCAUAUGCGAAGUUUUUGAAGGAACUUUGUACUAACAAGAGACGGUAUGAAGAACAUGAGGAGGUGAAGUUAUCAGACACGGUUAGUGCGGUUCUUCAAAGAAAAUUGCCACCAAAACUUCAAGAUCCUGGUAGCUUUACAGUCCCAUGUGUCAUUGGAGAAAGAAAAUUCGAAAAAGCUUUGCUUGACUUGGGAGCCAGUGUGAAUUUGAUGCCCUAUUCUGCUUAUAAACACCUCAAAUUAGGCGAACUAAAGCACAUAUCCAUUUCUCUACAAUGCACUGAUCGUUCUGUGAAAUAUCCAAGAGGGAUUGUUGAAAAUGUACUUGUGUGUGUUGAUCAAUUUAUUCUUCCUGCUGACUUCAUCAUUUUGGACAUGGAAGAAGCCGAAAUUCCUGGUCGUGACUUGCCUCUCAUUCUUGGCAGACCUUUCAUGGCUACUGCAGGUACGAAGAUUGAUGUUAAAUCGGGAUUAUUAACUAUGACUGUGCAAGGUAUUACUGUAGAAUUUCAGGUCUUCGAAGCAUUGAAGAAGCCCAUGGAUCUUUAUGACUGCUUUCGUGUUGAGGUAGUGGAUCCAAUUAUAAAAAAAAACAUUCAUUGAAUCAAGCAUCUCAGAUCCUCUGGAAGUUUGUAUCUCUCAACAUGGGAUGAGUUUUGAAAAGGCUACCAUCAUUGAAGCAGAACGAGAUCUCAAUGCCGUAACGUCCUACUCUCUUAGAUGCCAGCCCAAAUUUGAAGCGUUGCCACUCACAAGCCAAAAUUGUACCAUCCAUUAUACAACCUCCAAAGCUUGAAUUGAAGCCUCUUCCAGAGACUUUAAAGUAUGCAUAUUUGGUGAUUCAGAGACUCUUCCUGUGAUUAUAGCUGCUGAUCUUAACCAAACAGAAGAGGAAAAGUUGAUGCAAAUGUUGAGGGAGCAUAAAACAGCAUUGGGAUGGAGUAUUGCAGACAUAAAAGGAAUUAGUCCUCAAUUUGCAUGCAUCGGAUAUAUCUUGAGGACAAGUCAAAGCCUUCUAGAGAGGCACAGCGACGUCUAAAUCCACAUAUGCAAGAAGUGGUUCGGGCAGAAGUUCUUAAAUUACUGAAUGUCGGCAUUAUUUAUCCUAUAUCUAACAGCAAAUGGGUAAGUCCACUGCAGGUUGUACCACAGAGAUCUGGAAUUACAGUUGUCAAGAAUGAAAAUAAUGAGCUUAUACCCCAGAGGACUGUCACGGGUUGGAGAAUGUGUACAGAUUACAGAAAGAUCAAUAAUUCAACUCGAAAAUAUCAUUUUCCACUCCCUUUCCUUGAUCUCAUGCUUGAGAGACUUGCAGGCCAUAGUUAUUAUUGUUUUCUUGAUGGCUAUUCCAGAUAUAAUCAAAUUCCCAUAGCUCCGGAAGAUCAAGAAAAGACUACUUUCACAUGUCCAUUUGGAACUUUUGCCUAUCGACGAAUGCCUUUUGGGUUAUGUAAUGCUCCCGCAACAUUCCAAAGAUGCAUGAUGAGCAUUUUCUCAAACUUGGUGGAAAGGUGUAUCGAAGUGUUCGUGGAUGAUUUUUCCGUGUUUGGGUCAUCGUUUGAUCAAUGUCUUCAUCAUCUUUCAUUGGUGCUCUAACGGUGUCAAGAAACCAACUUGAUUUUAAAUUGGGAAAAAUGUCAGUUUAUGGUGAAAAGUGGUAUUGUUCUUGGUCAUGUAAUUUUAGCUGACGGAAUUGAAGUUGAUAAAGCUAAGGUGGAGCUGAUUUCGAAGCUUCCUCCUCCCACUUCUGUAAAAGAAGUUCGAUCCUUUCUCGAGCAUCCAAGUUUUUAUCGCCGAUUUAUUAAAGAUUUCUCGAAAAUCACCAAGCCACUUUGUGAUCUGCUUGCUAAAGAUUCUGUGUUUAAUUUAAAUGGUGAGUGCUUACAAGCUUUUGAGACCCUCAAGAAAGAAUUAACACAAGCCCCAAUCAUAAAAGCUCCAGAGUGGUCUCUUCCUUUUGAAAUCAUGUGUGACGCCUCUGAGUAUGCAAUAGGUGUUGUGUUAGGGCAGCGAGUUAACAAACUUCCUCAUGUUAUAUUUUAUGCUAGCCGAAUUCUCACUUAACAACUUUCAUAUCCCUUAGUUUCCAAAAUUUAAUAUACAAAUUUAGUCUCCCAAGCAUUGCUAUAUUACUUAAGUAUUGAUUAAUAGACUUAUUUCUUAUGGUGACACAUUAUUUAGUUUACAAAUUUAGUCUAUCUAACAUUACUCUUUUGACAUUGUCUUGUCCACUGAUAUAAUUCUAUUUUUCUUGUGAUCAAAACUUCAAAUGUUAGCAAGUCGCACGUAAAGUCGCUUCUGAGAGAAUGUGCUCACAUUGUAGUUGAAAGAUUAUGUGGCUAGCAACAUUACAAAUUUAAUUUGGUAUAAUUUUAAAAUAUAGAUUGAGGAAAAAAAGGAUCACAUUAACUAGAAACUGAAAAGGUUUCGGCGCAAUAUGUUCAAGCAAGAAACUCAAUUUUGAUGCUACCGAUCUUAACAGCCUGAGCGCCGUACCUGGGCACUAAAGUCACCACCACACUCUCAUCAUCUUCAGCACCCAAAUCCUCCAACAGGUCCGUUAACCCCAACCUUAAACAACUCUUGCUCUUUUCCUUCUGCUUAUGUGGCACACUCACAAAACUCCCAGCAAACUCGCUCUUGUCGGGUCCACUCGGUGCCGCAUCCUCAUCAUCCACGUCAUUCACAUACACAUCAAACUUCACAGCCACAUCUUUGUCAAGCUCAAUCCCCCGAAUCACCAAUAUCUCCUCCUCAUCCUCUUUCUCCUUCUUGCUCCUCUUCUUCGGCUUCGGCCUUGACACCACCGUAGUUAUCUUCGUCUCCAAAUUUAUUGGAAAAUCUUUACCCGCCACCACCUUCCCCGAUGACGUCGUCUCAGCGGCCUUCGCCACUCCAGCCGCCUUUGCCUUUCUCGCAAGCUUUGUCCGACGUGGCGUCGGUCUAGAGUUGAGCCAUGGAAUCUCAACAUCUUCAUACGUAUACCCUAGCUUUUUAUUAUCAAGAGUGUCCCUCACCGUGACCCUAACAAGCUCAGCAUUCUCGUCAUAAAACAAAAACCCCGUAUCCAACCAAUCCUUAUCGUUAAUAUCUUUAUUUUUAGUCCCUAUACUUUUCCAAAUAUUCCACAUUCGAUCCAGAUUCAAAUGGUGCGCAAAAAAUAUCGGAUCCCUUGCAGUGGAGUAAAAAUUCCCCAUGUCUUCAUAAUUAGGUUGCGUGUUAUCUCCGGUCCAUGUAUGAACCGGACCAUGUGGGGUCUGUUCGAUUGCACCGGCCCCUGGAUCUGGUUCAGUGCCAGCCCUGUAGGGCGAACCAAAGAACAACAGCGGUUUCUUGGAGUUGGAAACCAUCUGCCUAUACAUGAUUUUGAGGUUGGCUUCGAUUUGAGCAUCCUUGGACAUUGUUUCAUCCGUGCCGUUGAAGUCAAGAUCGAUGAGAGUUGGCGGCUGAUGGCUGGCAGCGCGGAGCUCGUCGUAAAGCGGAGAGUCAGGGUUAGCGUACAAGGCAGGGAGUUGCAUGCCAGCUGGCGCGUCCCAGUUCCAAAACGGCAACGCGAAGGUCGGAUCGUCUAUGAGUUUGGCCAAGAUUCUUUCGUGGAAAUAUAGGUAGUAACGAUGGAAGGGGAAGAAAAGCCAGGAUUGAUGGAUUUGGAGCUCGAGGUUGGGGAAGCCGACUUGGUCGUACGCACCGUUACAAUAGGCACAGUGGACAUCGGCUUGCUGGGUGAAGCUACGCGGAUCGUCGUCCGGGAGGGCUUUCAUGAGCUCGAUGGCUUUUGAGUAUUUUUCGAUGUAGGCUUUAUCCACGGCGUGAGCUGCCGGCCUGACGCGGAGUUUGGUAGGGGAGGGGAAUUUGAAGUCUACGAUUUUUUGGGACGUUGGCGGGCAACAGUUGGUCGGGACUGCUCCACUUGGAAAGUCCGCAGCUCCGCAUUUGGCUAGGUCAGGCGGCGACACUGGCUUUGCAACAGCGAAGGGGUCGCUGCCAAGACCAGCCACUCCACCGUACAGGCUUCCGAGACCUAUAAGUACAUGUCUUCUGUCUAGGUUUACUGGAGAAGGGUUUUCAUGGUCGUGAUCGUUGGAGCUAGUGGAAGGGUUUUUGUUUUGGUCACUACUAUUAUUUGUGGCUUUGCAUGAGACAGCUUGUAAAUUGGAAUGCCUAGGGUUUCCAAAUGAGGAUAUUCGGUGAUACUUUUGGGAGAAAGGAGAGAGAGAAGUUGUGGGGAUGAUACUUGUGGUGGGGGUGACGAGUGGAGCUGACAUAGAAGCCAUGGUUACUUGACUCUGAAUAAUACGUUGUAUGGGCUUUUGCUUUUAUAAUAUGUUCUAGGUUUACUUUUCUUUGCACAGGUGGCAGGCCGUGCACACGUUGUCGAGGAAUAGUACGUAGUCAUUUAGGAGAAAAAUCUAAUUGUGACGGAGGUGACGAGUGGAGCUGACAUAGAAGCCAUGGUUACUUGACUCUGAAUAAUACGUUGUAUUGGCCUUGCUUUUAUAAUAUGUUCUAG